Molecule: unclassified non-coding RNA, 286 nt
Organism: Danio rerio (zebrafish)
Lineage: Eukaryota; Metazoa; Chordata; Actinopteri; Cypriniformes; Danionidae
Source: Ensembl
CUGUGAUCUCAGAAGGUCAGGAAAACCGCUGGAUCUGCAUCACAUUACACUGCCACUUUCGUACACGAAGGCCAUCCCUUAUCCAAUUAACUGAGAUCCGUCUUUAUUUGUCAAACAUUUAGGCCUCAGCGUAGCCGGAAGUGUUGGCCGAGGAGCAGGACGUGGCUAAGCAGAGGCAGCUCUCAUUAAAUUGAUGAGCUGAGAUCUGGUCCUACUUCACCAUCUGGAAUUGUAGUCUGGGGUUCUGCUGAAAGCUGCUGACCCAGGAUUCAACUCUUCAACUCGG